This 592-nucleotide ribosomal RNA is filed under the name uncultured bacterium. RNAcentral describes it as "bacterial SSU rRNA". It matches the Rfam family "Bacterial small subunit ribosomal RNA", at positions 28 to 634 of the family's 1533-position model. The record is from RNAcentral.
GAUGAACGCUCUCUGCGUGCUUAACACAUGCAAGUCGAGGGAUGAAGUUUCCUUCGGUAGACUUAUUAGCGGCGGACGGGUGAAUAACACAUGAACAACCUGCCUCAUAGAGCGUAACACCCUUACAAAAGGAAGAUUAAUACCGCAUAAUGUUAAAAGAUGGCGUCUUCAUUCGACCUCAUUAUCAAUCCACUAUGAGAUGGACCCGCGACGCAUUACCUAAUUGGGGGGGUAACGGCCUACCUAGGCGACGAUGCGUAGCCUACCUGAUAGGAUGAUCAGGCACAUUGCGACUGAAACACGACCCAGACUCCUACCGUACGCAACACUGGAGAAUAUUGCACAAUGCAAGAAACCCUGAUGCAACCACGCCGCGUGAGUGAUGAAAGUUUUCCUAUCUGAAAGCUCUGUCUUUGUUGAAUAUAAUGACAGUACCCAAUGAAUAAUGCACUGCUAACUACAUGCCAACAACCACCGUAAUACUUAGGUGCCGAGCGUUAUCCGGAUUUACUGAUCCUAAAGGGAGCCUAAGCUGAUGAUUAAAUGGGAUGUGAAAUACCCACUGCUCAACUUGGGUGCUGCAUUCCAAACU